This 420-nucleotide ribosomal RNA is filed under the name uncultured bacterium. RNAcentral describes it as "bacterial SSU rRNA". It matches the Rfam family "Bacterial small subunit ribosomal RNA", at positions 357 to 774 of the family's 1533-position model. The record is from RNAcentral.
AGGAAUAUUGGACAAUGGAGGCAACUCUGAUCCAGCCAAGCCGCGUGAAGGAAUAAGGCCCUAUGGGUUGUAAACUUCUUUUAGACGGGACAAAACCCCUUUACGUGUAAAGGGUUGAUGGUACUGUCAGAAUAAGCAUCGGCUAACUUCGUGCCAGCAGCCGCGGUAAUACGAAGGAUGCAAGCGUUAUCCGGAAUUAUUGGGUUUAAAGGGUGCGUAGGCGGACUAAUAAGUCAGUGGUGAAAGCCUGCAGCUUAACUGCAGAAUUGCCAUUGAUACUGUUAGUCUUGAGUACAGUUGAGGUAGGCGGAAUGUGUCAUGUAGCGGUGAAAUGCUUAGAUAUGACACAGAACACCGAUUGCGAAGGCAGCUUGCUAAGCUGUAACUGACGCUGAGGCACGAAAGCGUGGGGAGCAAACA